This 214-nucleotide ribosomal RNA is filed under the name Campeiostachys nutans. RNAcentral's name for it is "Elymus nutans partial small subunit ribosomal RNA". The stretch from base 36 to 214 matches the Rfam family "Eukaryotic small subunit ribosomal RNA", at positions 684 to 864 of the family's 1831-position model. The record is from RNAcentral. Lineage: Eukaryota; Viridiplantae; Streptophyta; Magnoliopsida; Poales; Poaceae.
AGACCGGUUACUGGUCGUGCUUUUGUACGUACUGGUAUUAUUGGUUUCUCCUUUCUGACGAAUCUUAAUGCCAUUAAUUUGGUGUUGUGGGGAAUCAGGACUGUUACCUUGAGAAAAUUAGAGUGUUUAAAGCAGGCUCACGCUUGAAUACAUUAGCAUGGAAUAAUGAAAUAGGACGUUUGAUUCUAUUUUGUUGGUUUCUAGGAUCGACGUA